RNAcentral lists this ribosomal RNA (258 nucleotides) under uncultured bacterium. RNAcentral describes it as "partial 16S ribosomal RNA". It matches the Rfam family "Bacterial small subunit ribosomal RNA", at positions 100 to 354 of the family's 1533-position model. The record is from RNAcentral.
CCGGGUGAGUAACACGUAUGCAACCUGCCUGCCACAGCCGGAUAAUCGGGAGAAAUUCCGUCUAAUACGGCAUAAUGCAUCGACGGGACAUCCUGGUUGGGUGCCAAAGGGUUGAUUCCGGUGGCGGAUGGGCAUGCGUCGCAUUAGUUAGUUGGCGGUGUAACGGACCACCAAGACGACGAUGCGUAGGGGUUCUGAGAGGAAGGUACCCCCACACUGGUACUGAGACACGGACCAGACUCCUACGGGAGGCAGCAG